Molecule: non-coding RNA, 2896 nt
Organism: Cricetulus griseus (Chinese hamster)
Lineage: Eukaryota; Metazoa; Chordata; Mammalia; Rodentia; Cricetidae
Source: RefSeq, a predicted model, not a curated record
CUUGCAGGAAAAACUUGAAUUUGAGACUAGCCUGGGCUACAUAGUGAGGCCCUGAUACAAAAGAAGAAAAUGGAAAUAAAAAGGGGAGAAGGAAGGCAGGAAGGAGCUGAGGCCUCCUGGCCCCGUAUAGGAAUCAUAUAACAGUCAGCAUCAAGUUAAACAGGCCACCACUGAAGUCAUUUCUAGAAAAUCAAACCUACUUCUUCAUUUAGCUAAUAUUUAUCCUCUAUUUAACAAUUCCAAAGCUGCUGGCAUCCUGGGUGCUGGGGACAUUAUUCCCAUGCAACCUGCCUUCUGGUUUAACCUUUUGAGGGAUAUGAUGGAUUGCCUGAAAUGUCUAGAUGCACCCUGGCUGUCCUCAGGCCAUGCAUAUGUUUAUUUACAGUUGGGAUGGCUCAUUGCUGUUCUGGCUGGCUGGGCUGUAAUUUGCUGAGGCACUUAAGCUUCACUAUUGGAGGAAAAAAAAAAAAAAAACAACAAAACCAACCACAAAACAGCUUUUCUGCUAGCCCUAAUUUGUCUGUAAUGUUUGUACUGAAGAUUGUCUGGUUGGCCUAUUCAACUGAAAUGCAGCAGAAAUGUAAAAUAGAGCACAUGAAAGAAAAUAGGUAUAAAUCGAUAAUAAAUCCCAUCAAACGAAGAGAGCUUCUCUGGCAGCCUUGCAAAGUAUUUGCAUAACCUAAUUUCCCACACCGGGAUCUUUGCUGGUGUUUAAAUCUCUCCAACACAGAGAGUAGUUAUUUGUGCUCCUACUUGAAUAAUAGUUAUUUUAAAGUCACCUGAAUAUCCUAAUAAAUUUCUGUGUUCCGUUUAUCCUACAGCAUGAGACUAUGGAACACUGACCAAAGUCACUGUGCUGAAUUGGUGACUGAAUGCUUGUCCUUUCAAUGGAUGUCAGUUACCCUGAGUGCCUGGUUCUGUCCUGAGUGUUCUUGGGCCAAGGGAAGAAACCAUCGAGAACAAAUCAUGCAGAUUACAAGCCUUCAAAUUUUAGCAAGGCCAGCAGAUACAGUCAGAAGAACCGAGAAGAGUGUGAUAGUCUUCACUGCCACAUACUGCUUUUAUAGUGCUGGAAGGUGCUAUACCCACUACUGGAGGAGAAAAGUAUUCAUUCAUUUUAUCCAGCUGUGAACCCAUUGAGUAACAAUAACAACUGGUUUGGCAGGAUGUGCCUACUGGUACAAUAGUGGCAUCAGCAUCAUGGAAAUAACCAAUUACUUUCUGGUUAGAUUCAAGUGCUACGCUACAAGAUAAAAUAUAUUGAUGUAUCUCUCAAACCUCAUCAGAGAAGCAUCACUUUGUAGGAUAUGGUGAUUGACCCAGAGACCCUCAGCUGAUCAAGACAAACGGCAGGAAGGCCCCCACCCAACCUGAGUGCUCCUGUUUGGCGGAGAAGCUUCGAGUGCGUGUCUCAUUUUAAAUUCUGAAGUGCAAAUGUCAUGUAAUGAAAGUAUCAGCAAUGACUUAAAUGUGGUUAAAUAUGGAAACUCGGCAUAAAGUCAGUGUUUAUUUGCAGCCAGUGACAGUGAUAAGGGCAGGAGCUCUCCCGAUAAGUGGCUUUCAGCCAUCGUUAAUCGGCUGAUAGAUGGAUAGGAGAGAGGCUGGUCACAGAGGACGCCGUCUCACCCUCUGAAAUGGAACAGGCUUGUCCAUCUCACAGAGGGCGAGAAGGGGAACACGUGUGCUGCUGAUUCCAUUAUUCUGUUCGGAGGAGAAGGCAAAAAUCAAGAGACCUUGACCCGAAUCGUAUGGCAACACAGAGAUUCUCAGGAUGUCAGAGCUAGAUGGGGUUCUUGGUGAUCAUUUAGGCCAACCCCUGUGUUUUUAGCAGAGGAAAUUUCCAUGAGUAACUGUACACCAGCAUUUAUUAAUCAGUGCACAUGUAUCCAUUCCCUGCGUAAAACCCUUUGGCUGAUUGCCCAUUGCCCUUAAGGUGGGUCUUUAUAGCCAGGCCCCUUUUGGUCUGCCUUCUGCUUGUCUUGCUUCUUUUAUCUCUCUGUCUCUCCCUGUUUCAAUGAGACUGGGGGAGAAAUGGUCUCCAGGAAGGUUACACUGCUUGCUGGGGUAGUGUUUGCAAAGUUUUAGGUGUCUUUGGAUGCUAGCUAGCAGCACAACAUUUCCCCUGACACCCCCUCUCCCUCCCAACAAUGGCAGGCUGCUCUCUCCUUCUCCUUCUCUUCUUACUCCUCCCAUCACAGCCACACCACUAACACACUGGCCUACUCCCUCAUCUGUUCCCUACUUGACAGCCCAGAGCACUAUGGACCCACUAUUUGUAGAGAGAGCUCUGCAGAGUUGCCUGCAUACAGUAGGUACUCUACAUGGCUGUUGACUGAAAAGAUAGCUCAUUGCAUGCCAACCACAGUGGUAGAAAUCAAGAAUGUAAAACCUCGAAAGACACAGCCCUAUUCUGCAAGUCAGUCUAGUCCAUUCAAAUCAUUCAUAACUUUUGUCCAGUUUACCAAAUUUGAGGAUGGCACAUUUUCAUUAGUAUUGAAACAAAUCUUAAAAGGAUUUAGAAUUUCCCAUUAUUUGCAGCAAUGCUUAGGGAUACCGUUAGAACACAGAAACAGGGAGUUUUUAAGUAGGCUCCAAUUAAGCUGUCCUCGCCCAAGUGAUAAGAAAAGCUCAAGUUCAUUGUACAGAAGAACCACUUGCAGUGCAACCUGAAGAUAAAUAUUUAUUCUGUCUUAUCCUGCCUAAGAGACAAGCAUGAGAAAUAGGAGUCUGCAGAAUGUUAGGGUGUGGGAGGGACUUGGGAGAACCUAGCCAGUCCUCUUACUGCAAGCAAAAUGGUACACCAGAGGCAGGCAACUGGCUCACACAGAACCACGAGGCAAAUUAGUGGCUACCAUGGGCCCUGGUGCCCCACCCCAUGCUCCUUCUGUAACAAGAU